RNAcentral lists this ribosomal RNA (484 nucleotides) under uncultured bacterium. Its description in RNAcentral is "partial 16S ribosomal RNA". It matches the Rfam family "Bacterial small subunit ribosomal RNA", at positions 30 to 507 of the family's 1533-position model. The record is from RNAcentral.
AUUGAACGCUGGCGGCAGGCCUAACACAUGCAAGUCGAGCGGAUGAAGGGAGCUUGCUCCUGGAUCCAGCGGCGGACGGGUGAGUAAUGCCUAUGAAUCUGCUUGGUAGUGGGGGAUAACGUCCGGAAACGGGCGCUAAUACCGCAUACGUGCUGAGGGAGCAAGUGGGUGAUCUUCGGACCGUACGCUAUCAGAUGAGCCUAGGUCGGACUAGAUAGUUGGUGGGGUAAAGGCCUACCAAGGCGACGAUCCGUAACUGGUCUGAGAGGAUGAUCAGUCGCACGGGAGCUGAGACACGGUCAAGACUCCUACGAGAGGCAGCAGUGGGGAAUAUUGGACAGUGGUCGAAAGCCUGAUCCAGCCAGGCCGCGUGUGUGAAGAAGGUCUUGGGAUUGUAAAGCACUCUAAGUUGGGAGAAAGGGCAGUAAGUUAAUACCAUGCUGUUGUGACGUUACCAACAGAAUAAGCACCGGCUAACUUCGUG